This 354-nucleotide ribosomal RNA is filed under the name uncultured Glomus. RNAcentral's name for it is "SSU rRNA". It matches the Rfam family "Eukaryotic small subunit ribosomal RNA", at positions 569 to 928 of the family's 1831-position model. The record is from RNAcentral. Lineage: Eukaryota; Fungi; Glomeromycota; Glomeromycetes; Glomerales; Glomeraceae.
AGCAGCCGCGGUAAUUCCAGCUCCAAUAGCGUAUAUUAAAGUUGUUGCAGUUAAAAAGCUCGUAGUUGAAUUUCGGGACUAAUAUGUCGGUCGUACUUUGUACGUACUAGCAUUAUUGGUUUCCUCCCUUCUGACGAACCACGAUGCCAUUAAUUUGGUGUCGCGGGAAAUCAGGACUGUUACUUUGAAAAAAUUAGAGUGUUUAAAGCAAGCUCGCGCUUGAAUACAUUAGCAUGGAAUAAUGAAAUAGGACGUUUGAUUCUAAUUUUGUUGGUUUCUAGGAUCGACGUAAUGAUUAAUAGGGAUAGUUGGGGCAUUAGUAUUCAAUUGUCAGAGGUGAAAUUCUUGGAUUUA